Molecule: ribosomal RNA, 414 nt
Filed under: uncultured bacterium
Lineage: Bacteria
Description: bacterial SSU rRNA
Rfam family: Bacterial small subunit ribosomal RNA
Source: RNAcentral
AGCGAACGCUGGCGGCAGGCUUAACACAUGCAAGUCGAACGGACCCUUCGGGGUUAGUGGCGGACGGGUGAGUAACACGUGGGAAUGUGCCCUUAGGUUCGGAACAACACAGGGAAACUUGUGCUAAUACCGGAUGUGCCCUUCGGGGGAAGAUUUAUUGCCUUUGGAGCAGCCCGCGUCUGAUUAGCUAGUUGGUGAGGUAAAGGCUCACCAAGGCUUCGAUCAGUAGCUGGUCUGAGAGGAUGAUCAGCCACACUGGGACUGAGACACGGCCCAGACUCCUACGGGAGGCAGCAGUGGGGAAUCUUGCGCAAUGGGCGAAAGCCUGACGCAGCCAUGCCGCGUGAAUGAUGAAGGUCUUAGGAUUGUAAAAUUCUUUCAGUGGGGACGAUAAUGACGGUACCCACAGAAGAA